GUGGCCCACCCAGCCUCUGGGGUUGUGAGCAUGGCCUGGGAAGGCGUUCUGUUCUUGAACAAGAAGGGAUGCCUCUGGCUGGUUGACAGCCCCUGACACACCUCGUUUUUGUUCUGCAGGUGUUGGAAAGAGGAUGCAGCCAUCCCCAGCCCUCAGCAGGGAAGGGUGGAAAAUGCUGCACUGUGCACGGAAUUAAGAAAAGAUGCAAAAAUGAAAUUGCAAUAUCAAAUAGUAACCUUCCAGAGUGUAAAAUUCAAGAUAAAUUGACAUGCUGAGGAUUGGUGAGGAUGGGAAGCAACAGGAAUGUAGUCAGUACAACAACUUUGAAAAACUCUUUUGCAAUGUCUGCUAAACCUAAUGUAUGUACACCCUAAGACUCUACAAUUCUCUGAGAUACAUACCUAUGGAAAUGUGUGCAUAAAGGCGCCAAGGCUCAUGCCAAGUGUGUUCUGAGUAGUGCUAUUUUUACUAAGCCAAGACUGGGAGCAAAACAAAUGUCUCCCUACAAUAGAAUGGCGUAAAUUAUGGUAUAUAUUCCAAGGAAUUCUUCAUGUCAAUAAGGAUGAACAAACUGUCAGUUCAUUCCACAAUAUAGCUAAAAACCACUAGGAUGAUAUGGACUAAAAAAGAAGAAAAAAUAUUGUGUGACUAUAUAUGACCUUCCAAAACAGGAAAAACCAAUCUGUGCUGACAGAUGUCAAAAGAGGGCCCAUUCUGGGAGUGUGGGAGUAAUGACAGCAGCUAUGGAGUAAUGGCAAUAUUCCAUGGCCAGAUCCCAGUUCUGCUCACAUGGGUGCAUUCAUUCUGAAAAACUCAUCAAAUGGCAUGCUAAUGGAGGCAGGUAAAUCCCACUUGAAAUUAUGAAGCUUACCAAAACAGCAACAAUAGCAAAAACCUUGAACCAGCGCAUCUGUGUAAAGUUGGAUGAGGUCUGGCAUUCAGGUUUUGCAGGUCGCUUUAUGUCUUUGUAGUUCUGGUGCUGUCUCCAUUCAUAAUUUCCAUGGCUUCUGUGUGUUGACAUGGUUCUAUGCCUUUCUUCUUUGCUGCCCCCUGACUUUCAAUCUGAACUUGAUACAUCGAUCCUGAUCCUCUAGUUGUUUUGCCCUUGGAGCUAACUUCUCAUUCUCAACUUCUUUCAAUAUUUUGCUAACAAUGCCACCCUAUCAGAUCAGUUCUCUCUCUUCUAUAAAUUUUGUUAAUGGCCUUGGUUUAACUUUGUCAGUGAAACUUUCACUCCUUUAUUUAAUUUUUCCUGGUUUUGCCUAAUGGGUUUUUAUGUUCUUGUUUUGAUCAUUUCAUAGAUUAUUUACUUGGUCCCCUUUUGUUCUCUUCCAAACCCAAAUCCUUCUCCUCUCCUUUUCUGUCUACGGGUGUGGGGUGAGGCACAGGAGCCCAGGCUCACUCUUCACUCGGUAGCUCCAGCAGCAGAGUCAGCUGACCCAACAUGCAAUAGGAAAGGGGAAAAAAUUCAAAACUGGGGACUAAAACAAGGCUUCCAGUUGUGCAAAGUAGUUUAACAGAUUACCUUCCUUAUAGAUUUAGCUUAGAGGCCGUCUGACCUGAGUCCAUUUAUGGAACAAUUUGGCCUAGCUUUUAUUUUUUCUUUUCAAAAUAAAUCUUCUUGUCCUCCAUUGGAGACACAGAAGGAACCAGGGAGCUGGCAUUUUUUUUUUUAAAUCCAUACGAAGGUUUUGGCCAGGAAUUUUUCAAACACUGGAAUAAAUUUUUAAUUUGGACUUUGAUAUCCAGACAAGCCCAGCUCAUGUUCUCUUGGGUCUCCUUCCCUAAGACCAGACUUCAAACAGGCACUGCUUGCUGUCUCCGCAGAAGCAGCGGAAGGCACGGGAGCAGCCACGGCAGCAGCAGUCAACAGAAGCCGCUGCACCCUGCCUGGCCCGCCCUGGAAACCAUCACACCCGGCUCCUCGGACCUGCAGCCAAGUGCCUCCGAGGAGCGUGCACGGGCGCGCAGACCGUCAGGGCGGGAAGCUCUGGGGACCUCCCACUUCCAUCUGGGGAACCUGCCUGGAGCAAUCUCAGUAACGUGGCAUCCGAAUGUUGAAGAGAACGGGCAAAUACGCGCUGUGCCAUUUGGCUUUCUUACUUGCUUCUUUUCCUCUCCAUUUCAGACUUUCACUCUCAUAGUCUGGACUGUGGAAGCCAUCGGUGUGCCUCUUCCAGAUGAGGCCCCAGAGAACUCUAAGGUUUAACCCUUGGCAUAACUUCCUGAAGCUUGACUGACAAAACGGAGCCCGGGAAGGAGAGAGCAAGCGAAGGAUUGUCUGUGACAACUACAGAAGCAAGCUCAUUUCCGUUUGGAGACCUGGAUGGGAUGCUACACGGAAUUGAAACUUAAUACCCAGAGUCCCUUAGAGAAGUGGCCGCCCUGGGGCUGUCACCAUCAUUUCCUGUUAAUUGUCGCCUGAAAUAACCGGUUGUGGAAAUGGCACAAGGCCUGGGGCGAAGGAAUGUCGUCUGGGGAGAGUCCAGCCCACUCACAACCCGGAAUGAAAUACAAAUGAUUUAACAGCAGUACUGACAGGGUUCUCAGAAUAAAUCGGUUCCAUUCUCACCACUUCAAAUCACUUAAUGUCACUGCCCUGAGACAAAUUGGGGCAGUUGGCUAUGGGUCACCCAGGCUUUGGGACAGUAUCCCCACACUUACCAAUGAGAGUGAACUGCAAGGCUGACCUAAACUGCCUGUCUUCCUGAAGGCUGAGCCUAGAAGUUAAAGGGGAUGGGAAUCAUUACAAAGUCUUUCUAAGAAUCCUCUACCUUCAGCCUGCAGCAUGGGCUAGGAAAUGGCCCCUUAGAAGCAUGGGUGCUCCCAUGUGCCGCUGAUACUGGGCUAACCUGGUUUAUCUACCAAGUCAUGUGCUAGAACUUCAUUUGUUUGUGAUCCUCCUAAUUCAUGUUGGAACUUAAGUCCCAAAUGUAGUGGUACUGAGGGAAGGGGCCUCGAGGAAGUGUGCAGCCAUAAGGGCUGAUUCCUGGCCCCCACAUAAAAGGGCUUCAGGAAGCAGGUUUGCCCCUUUAACCCUGUGAAGAUUCAACACAACGUACUGUCCUUGAAGCAGACAACAAGCCCUCACCAGGCACCAAACCUGCUGGCACCUUGACCUUGGAAGUCGCAGCUUCCAGAACUGUUUCCUCUUAGCUUCUUGGGAGAGGCCCAGUUCCUCUGUGCCCUGUGAGCUGUGCUUCUCAUUUGAGUCGGUCACUUUGUCCACUUGGCCUCCUCAGCACUGGCCCCUGUCUGUGUAUGGAUUUGCGUGUCUCCUGUAGACUCAGGAUACCAGGGAAGAGGUACCUGGUGUCUCCCACCUUUGUAUCCCAGCCGUCUGGACAACAUGCAUAGGACAAAAGUCUGAGGAAGCAAGAGAUGGAGAAGGAAGGCAGGAGGAAGUCCUGGACUAGUGGCUCUGUGCCCCGACUCUGGCUGCAAGUGGGUAUCCUGCACAGGACCAGAACUUCAGGGAAGCUUUCUGGGAAGUCUACACCAAGAUGCAAGCUCCAAUAUGAG
Molecule: non-coding RNA, 3522 nt
Organism: Oryctolagus cuniculus (rabbit)
Lineage: Eukaryota; Metazoa; Chordata; Mammalia; Lagomorpha; Leporidae
Source: RefSeq, a predicted model, not a curated record